RNAcentral lists this ribosomal RNA (253 nucleotides) under uncultured bacterium. Its description in RNAcentral is "partial 16S ribosomal RNA". It matches the Rfam family "Bacterial small subunit ribosomal RNA", at positions 524 to 776 of the family's 1533-position model. The record is from RNAcentral.
UACGUAGGUGGCAAGCGUUGUUCGGAAUAACUGGGCGUAAAGGAUGCGUAGGCGGUUAAACAAGUUAUAUGUUAAAUAUAUAGGCUUAACCUGUAGAAAGCAUAUAAAACUGUUUAACUAGAGUGCAGGAGAGGUAAGUGGAAUUCCUAGUGUAGCGGUGAAAUGCGUAGAGAUUAGGAGGAACACCAGUGGCGAAGGCGGCUUACUGGACGGCAACUGACGCUGAGGCUCGAAAGCGUGGGGAGCAAACAGG